GAUGAAGAACGCAGCGAAAUGCGAUAAGUAAUGCGAAUUGCAGAAUCCGUGAGUCAUCGAAUCUUUGAACGCACAUUGCGCCCCCUGGUAUUCCGGGGGGCAUGCCUGUCCGAGCGUCAUUGCAACCUUCAAGCGCGGCUUGUGUGUUGGGUCUCGUCCCCCGUGGACGGGCCCGAAAGGCAGUGGCGGCGUCCCGACAUGGUGCCCGAGCGUAUGGGAAUCCUCUUCCGCUCGAAUCGGCCCAUGCGGCGCUGGUCGUAACCAAAUUUUUUACCGGUUGACCUCGGAUCAGGUAGGGAUACCCGCUGAACUUAAGCAUAUCAAUAAGCGGAGGA
This 335-nucleotide unclassified non-coding RNA is filed under the name soil metagenome. RNAcentral describes it as "partial contains 5.8S ribosomal RNA, internal transcribed spacer 2, and large subunit ribosomal RNA". The stretch from base 1 to 119 matches the Rfam family "5.8S ribosomal RNA", at positions 35 to 154 of the family's 154-position model. The record is from RNAcentral.